GGGGAGCCUGCUUCCACAUUGUUAAUUACUCGCUCUAAAAUUCGUGACAGAAUUUCACAUGAAGAGGGAUAAAUAGCGUCUAUAAAGUACGAGUAGGCGCUCUGUUAACGGAAAGAGGUGAAUCUGAGGCAUAUUGGCAUCAGUAUAUAGCAUUUUGAAAGAAAUGUGAUGUACUGGAGAAGUUAUAUCUAUUACAUGUGAAGAGCCCCAUCCAUAAAAAAGUUUCAAACAGACAUCUCUGAACUGCUUUUAGAAGAAGGCAAAAGUAGUACCGUCCUGGCCAAGAUUUUCUAUGCUGCUCUUCUCUAUGAGGAUGAAAGUAUGGAUUAUGUUUAGGGAACCUAAGGGAAGUCAGGUAGAAAUUUUAAAACAGACAGAGGACAAAUGUAAAAAUGUAAACAUUGAAAAAACUAGAAUUUAAAUAGAUCAUGUUGCAGAAAAGGACAUUUUUCAUAAAUAGACUGUUUUGACUUGAUUUUUAAGUUAUGUCUACUUGAAAAUUCCAUGUUAAGCAUUCCUAAAAGGUAUAUUCUUCUCUCAGUACUUUUUUUUUCUGCAGCAGAGUUGCAUCACCUAGGCAGAUAUAUCUAUCAGUAUGUAAUUGCAUUGUAAAAGCUGCAGCUUCUCCAAGUUAACAAUUCAAUUUUCUGGACGACCUAUUGUCCCCAACAAAGUUAAAAAAAAAAAAAAAAAAAAAAAAAGGCUUUGAGCCUUUGGUGUUGGAAGUCUGUGAGAAAUUAAAUCUGUGACAAGUUAAUACUGCUUUCUGGCCCACAAAUGAAGCACCCACACAUCUUCUGAAGUGCUGACAAAGCAGAUGGACUGAUGUUUGUCCCUAUGGCCACACUGGGAACCAAGUUGCCAGUUGUGUCCAGUUACAAAAUGGAACCAUCCUUUUUUUUUUUUUUUUCCUUUUUUGGAGAAAAGAAUGUGUAAGAGGAAUAUUCAUCAUUUGGAAACUACCUGGUGAUGUUGUAUUUAUUCUUAUUCCUUUUCUGUAUUUAGCUUAAAAAAAAAAAAAAAUACAUUUUACUAUUUUUUGGCAAACACGUCUUCAGAUAAACCAGUAUAUAACUUGAUGGCCAAAGUCCAAUGAACUUUCUUUUGUGAUGUUUUGUGGUUAAAAUAUUAGAUG
Molecule: long non-coding RNA, 1135 nt
Organism: Oxyura jamaicensis (ruddy duck)
Lineage: Eukaryota; Metazoa; Chordata; Aves; Anseriformes; Anatidae
Exons: 3
Source: RefSeq, a predicted model, not a curated record